ACAGCCUUGGGUUCAACAUUGUGCUUUAUGGUUUGGGUUCUAAGAGAGAUUUACUAGAAAGGUUUCGAACCACUAUGCUGCAAGAUUCCAUUCACGUUGUCAUCAAUGGCUUCUUUCCUGGAAUCAGUGUGAAAUCAGUCCUGAAUUCUAUAACAGAAGAAGUCCUCGAUCAUAUGGGUACUUUCCGCAGUAUACUGGAUCAGCUAAACUGGAUAGUAAACAAAUUUAAAGAAGAUUCUUCUUUAGAACUCUUCCUUCUCAUCCACAAUUUGGAUAGCCAGAUGUUGAGAGGAGAGAAGAGCCAGCAAAUCAUUGGUCAGUUGUCAUCUUUGCAUAACAUUUACCUUAUAGCAUCCAUUGACCACCUCAAUGCUCCUCUCAUGUGGGAUCAUGCAAAGCAGAGUCUUUUUAACUGGCUCUGGUAUGAAACUACUACAUAUAGUCCUUAUACUGAAGAAACCUCCUAUGAGAACUCUCUUCUGGUAAAGCAGUCUGGAUCCCUGCCACUUAGCUCCCUUACUCAUGUCUUACGAAGCCUUACCCCUAAUGCAAGGGGAAUUUUCAGGCUACUAAUAAAGUACCAGCUGGACAACCAGGAUAACCCUUCUUACAUUGGUAUCCAAUAUUUAUGACAUUCAAUUGUGUAAUUUUUGUUUUACCCUGUACAUUUCCUGUCUCUGGAAUUUAAUGACAGCAGUGCAGUUUUUCACAGCAGUGAGUAAGUGGUCACUCAUGAUGGGUAUGUCUGCCACAUAGCAAAUUUUCAAGCAGCUCUACAGAUCCACUGCUGAGCAAGGUGUUUGCCAACACAAAUUGAAAGACAAACCCAGCUUACUUUUAAAAUUUUCUGUGCUAACUAUGGAUGUGUAUCUGCCAAGUACAUAUUUUUCAUAUUCUAGGCAUCUUAGGAGAUUUUCUUCCCCUUUGGCAAAAAUGAUUUCAACAAACAUUUUAAUAAUCGUUCUGCUCUCAUGACUUACUUGUUCCUUCUUUAAAAGUCCUAUCAAUACUUGUUCACUGCUCUGGGAUAACAUGCAAAUAGCACUUUUAUUCUGUUCUUUUGUAUGGGUGUUUGUAUAUUGGGUCAUGUCUUAAGUGCUGACUUAUGUUCAUAUCCUUUUGAACUUGCCAGGCCUUUCUUUUCAAGAUUUUUACCAGCAGUGUCGGGAGGCAUUCCUCGUCAAUAGUGAUCUGACACUCCGGGCCCAGUUAACUGAAUUUAGGGACCACAAGCUUAUAAGAACAAAGAAGGGAACUGAUGGAGUAGAGUAUUUAUUAAUUCCUGUUGAUAAUGGAACAUUGACUGAUUUCUUGGAAAAGGAAGAAGAGGAGGCUUGAAGCUUUCCUUUAUUCUUGAAUCUCCCAUGGAAGGGUUGUACCCCAGCUGCCACUCCUCUAGUUGAAAGUGUUGUGUUUACAUCUGACAUUAAAUUAUUUUUCCAGCAUACAAGAUUUAAAUUUGGGAAGGGGGGGAUGUCCUCAAUUAGAACUUUUUGAUCAGCCUGGCUGGUACCGUCUAGUACUAUGCAGCGGUCCUCAAGUUGGAGAAAAUGUGCCUUUCAUUCAUUACCUCUCUGGAGACUUCUUGCUGGAAUGAACAGUGUGCUCAGGGACUAUUUGGAACUGGAUGUUUUUGAAUUAUUUUAUACUUAGAGAUAUUCUGAAUUUUUUGAGGGCCUUUUAACACUCCCCGAGCUGAUUGUUUGCAAGUGUGUUUGUUCCAGAGUGUGGAAGUAUAAAGACAUGGGCAUCAUGUAAAUUGGCUUUGUUUGCUAUUCUGUGUGUCAGAACCAACGAGUGUAAUGGAGAGGGCAGGUCAUCUCUUAUUGUUUCUAAAACAACUUAAAAGGUGUAGAUUGGGAAGAGGUGAGUGAUCCAGCUUUCUCCUUUUGGAUUGAGGCUAUGUACUUGGUGGGGGCAGGGGAGGGAAUAUAUUAUAAUACUAUUCAGUUGGGAUAAUGGGAAAAACAGAGUAUAUAGGGUAUCUACCCAGCCUAGAAAGCACAGGAACAAUACGUCAUAUAUUUGGAACAGUUAUUGUCUGUGCCAUGACCUUCAUGAUACCAGUGAGAAGCCAGGCUAGAGAAAUAAAAUCCUGAAUUACAUUUUAGUAAUUGUUUUCAAGACAACAAAAAAUAAAACAUUUCAUUAUUCUUGUAUAUUGACAUAUUUUUCUUUUCUUGAA
This 2185-nucleotide small RNA is filed under the name Pan troglodytes (chimpanzee). RNAcentral's name for it is "retained intron". The record is from RNAcentral. Lineage: Eukaryota; Metazoa; Chordata; Mammalia; Primates; Hominidae.